GUACGUGGUACGCGUCCGAGCACGCUCGCUUAGGUCACCAUCAGCUGAGGACGCGUCGCGUUAGCGUCGACCGCGCCCCGUACGCGUGGGCGCCGCGUGUAGUCUAGCUUGACGUCACGUCUGGCGCGCCGUCUGCUACGUAGCGCGGCUACGUCACGAGCUGCCAGCUGCGAAGACGUGGCGGGAAUCCGGAACGGCGCCGGCGAGAGUCCGUCUCUCGCCCUUCACCUCGAAGUCGUAACAGUGGAUGGCGAACUAGUAUCUCAACAGCAGACGGCAGACUGCGAAAUACGAGGCCCGAAGACGCCUGCUAUACCUCUCGACGGCCGCUACGAGACCGACCGGCGUCAACCACUUUGGCUGGCGACAGCAUCCGGCAAGCUGGGGAGAGACCUCGGGGCGAGCCGGCUGGAGCGGAUGACGUCGGACGCAGUCAUGCCCCGUCAGAAGGACAGGCAUCUAGCGACGCGACCAUGCGCAUAGCUCGGCUUUGCCGCCCGGAGCGACAUCGUUGCGGAUAGAUGGCAGCGUACUUGUGAGUACGAGCACAGCGCGCCGCCAUGACGUUAUCGCAGUUUCACUUUAUGCAGAACAUCACGGCGACUCCGACGGUGGUCCACGGCGCCGGAAUUAAAGGUGCGUCCACGUUGGCAGCACGGCUGCUCUCCGCAUGCCGUUUGCGGUUCGUGGAUCAGGCGAUAUCCCCCUGUGGCACAGCGACGCGGCCAUUCAGCGACGGAGGAGUAGUGCGGCUAACGAAUGGCGUCGCCGGCAGCCUCGCUACCGCUGAUCGCUCGCCGCCGAAACCGUGGCUAUAGGCCUUUUCGGUUCGCUUCGAACCUGUAGCUGACGGUGCUUCAGAGAGAACCGCCGACGCUCCCAAAGCCGCAAUGUUUAGUUACCGGUGUUGUUGCUUUACCUUUCUCCUCGCAAUAAUUUCACAUGAACAAGAAAACAUGCUGAUAUUUAUUUAUGAGGAAUGCGCGCCCUAUAGUGGGGGAACUCCGGAUUAAUUCUGGCCGCCAGGGGAUCGUUAACGUGCGGCCAACGCACGGGACACGGGCGUUUCUGCAUUUGUGCCUACUCUUGGCGCUCCUGAUGAAAAUGGCGGCUGCAUAUAUUCCUGUGCUAGAAAUAUGUUCUCGGUCAUUCCUAUUUUGUCUUUCAAUAAAUGGUGAU
Long non-coding RNA from Dermacentor andersoni, 1179 nucleotides. RefSeq lists it as uncharacterized. Lineage: Eukaryota; Metazoa; Arthropoda; Arachnida; Ixodida; Ixodidae. The record is from RefSeq and is a predicted model, not a curated record.